UACGUAGGUGGCAAGCGUUGUCCGGAAUUAUUGGGCGUAAAGCGCGCGCAGGCGGUCCUUUAAGUCUGAUGUGAAAGCCCACGGCUCAACCGUGGAGGGUCAUUGGAAACUGGGGGACUUGAGUGCAGAAGAGGAGAGUAGAAUUCCUAGUGUAGCGGUGAAAUGCGUAGAUAUUAGGAGGAAUACCAGUUGCGAAGGCGGCUCUCUGGACUGUAACUGACACUGAGGCACGAAAGCGUGGGGAGCAAACAGGAUUAGAUACCCU
This 265-nucleotide ribosomal RNA is filed under the name uncultured prokaryote. Its description in RNAcentral is "partial 16S ribosomal RNA". It matches the Rfam family "Bacterial small subunit ribosomal RNA", at positions 524 to 788 of the family's 1533-position model. The record is from RNAcentral.